AUACGUAGGUGGCGAGCGUUGUCCGGAAUUACUGGGUGUAAAGGGCGUGUAGGCGGGGAUGUAAGUCAGAUGUGAAAUCCCAUGGCUCAACUGUGGGGCUGCAUCUGAAACUAUGUCUCUUGAGUGCCGGAGCGGGAAGCGGAAUUCCUAGUGUAGCGGUGAAAUGCGUAGAUAUUAGGAGGAACACCAGUGGCGAAGGCGGCUUUCUGGACGGUAACUGACGCUGAGGCGCGAAAGCGUGGGGAGCAAACAGGAUUAGAUACCCUGGUAGUCCACGCCGUAAACGAUGGAUACUAGGUGUAGGAGGUAUCGACCCCUUCUGUGCCGGAGUUAACACAAUAAGUAUCCCACCUGGGGAGUACGGCCGCAAGGUUGA
This 376-nucleotide ribosomal RNA is filed under the name uncultured bacterium. RNAcentral's name for it is "bacterial SSU rRNA". It matches the Rfam family "Bacterial small subunit ribosomal RNA", at positions 523 to 897 of the family's 1533-position model. The record is from RNAcentral.